RNAcentral lists this non-coding RNA (962 nucleotides) under Cavia porcellus (domestic guinea pig). Lineage: Eukaryota; Metazoa; Chordata; Mammalia; Rodentia; Caviidae. The record is from Rfam by way of RNAcentral.
UGGACAACAGGUUUGGUCCUAGCUUUUUUAUUAGUUGUUUGCAGAAUUAUACAUGCAAGAAUCUUCAUACUGGUGAGAAUGCCCUCUAUACCACACCCAAAGGCUAAACGGAGCAGGUAUCAAGCACACUACCAAGUAGCUCAUAACACCUUGCUUUGCCACACCCCCAUGGGCAGAGCAGUAAUAAGAAUUAAGCAAUAAACGAAAGUUUGACUAAGUCAUGCUACUACUAGGGUUGGUAAAUUUCAUGCCAGCCACUGUGGUCAUAUGAUUAACCCAAACUAAUAAACUCCGGCGUAAAAAGUGUUUUAGAAAUGCAAAAAAUAAGACUAAAUUUUAUCUAAGUUGUAAAAAACUCCAGAUAAAAUACAAACUGGAAAUGAAAGCAAUAUUAAUAUAUCUGAAUAUGUGAAAGCUAAGGCCCAAAUUGGGAUAAAAUACCCCACUAUGCUUAACCAUAAACGUAAAAACUUACACAACAAGAGUGUUCACCUGAGAACUACUAGCAAUAGCUUAAAACUCAAAGGACUUGGCGGUGCUUUAUACCCACCUAGAGAGCCUGUUCUAUAAGCGAUAAACCCCCGAUACACCUCAAAACUUCUUGCUAAUUCAGCUUAUAUACCGCCAUCUUCAGCAAACCCAAUCACGGAAACAAAGUAAGCACAAGCAUGCUACAUAAAAAGUUAGGGCAAGCUGUAGCCAAUGGAGUGGGAAGAAAUGGGCUACAUUUUCUUACUAAAGAACAGCAAAUGCAAACAUUUAUGAAAACUAAAGAUCUAAGGAGGAUUUAGUAGUAAAUCAAGAAUAGAGAGCUUGAUUGAGCUAGGCCACAAAGCAUAUACACACCACCCAUCACCCUACUGAAGUACCCCAAAAUUUUUAACCCAAAAAUGAACACAUGUGAGAGGAGAUAAGUCUUAACAAGGAAUGCGUACUGGAAAGUGUACUUGGAAACAAAGUGU